Molecule: small nuclear RNA, 61 nt
Filed under: Gorilla gorilla gorilla (western lowland gorilla)
Lineage: Eukaryota; Metazoa; Chordata; Mammalia; Primates; Hominidae
Source: RNAcentral
GUGCUUGCUUUGACAGCAUAUAUACUAAAGUUGGAAUGAUACAGAGAAGAUUAGCAUGGCC